This is a non-coding RNA of Phascolarctos cinereus (koala), 1710 nucleotides long. The record is from RefSeq and is a predicted model, not a curated record. Lineage: Eukaryota; Metazoa; Chordata; Mammalia; Diprotodontia; Phascolarctidae.
CUUCAUUUCCCAGCAUCCUCCUGCUGUUGGGGAAGGUGCAGGCGCAGGCGCAAAGGACACCUGCCUCGUUACCAUAGCAGCCCCGCUGAAGUGCUGGGGAGCAAGCGUUUGGCCGAGGCCGGGCCAGGGCAGCGGGGCCUUCGAGGGGAGGUCGAGUCACGAGCGAGCGAGAGAACAGCCGGCCAGGCUCUCCUCAGAGGCCGGGGAGAAGGAGCCGGAGGCGGCGGCGGCGCAUCCCCGAGCCCACCCGAGGGUCCCUUCCGGGGAUGAGAGGAGACUGUGAAUCGACCGUGCAGUGGAAAGAGCCCUGUCUCUGGAGGCGGAUGCUGGGUUCACAUUUUGACUCUAACGUGUACUGCUGGUAUGACUUUAGGUGACUGACCACCCUGAAGUGAUUCCCACCUGGGAGAAGGAAGGGGACUGCGUGGGGGAGGGCUGGCAAAGAACCCCACCACCUGGCACGUAAUACUGGAUUCUAGUCUCUGUGAGAUGGGUGAUGUCCUGCCCAUUUUACAGAUGGGAAAACUGAAGCUCAGAGAGGAAAAAAAAGAGAGCACAAGAAAAGCCCUUGUGACAAAUCUGCAUGAUCAAGGAAAAAAUGCCUCCCCUGAUGGGGUCCCCCAUGUCCGUGUCUCCUUCUGCAUCUUGAGUGCAUUCAUUGCUCUCCCUCGGGAGCAGGCUCGUCCUCUGAAGUGAUGGCUGCUCAUUGCCCUGAUGUGAGUCCCUCUGUCUUUCAAAGCUGUUUCUCUUUAUGCUGUUGGUGGUGGUGUAUAAAUCCUUCUCCUGGUUCUGCUCGCAUCUUUUGCAUCAGUACGUCAGGUCUUCCUAGGUUUCCUUGGAACCAUCCUUUUCAUCAUUUCUUAUGGAACAGUUAUGUUCCAUUACAUUUCUAUACCUUAAUUUGUGCCGCCGCCCCUCAGUUGAUGGGCGUUAUUUUCAGUUCCUUGCCACUACAAAAAGAGCUUCUAUAAAUAUUUUUAUACAUACGGGUCCUUUUCCUUUUUCUUUGAUUCCUUUGUGGUAUAGGCCUGCUAGUUAUACCUCUGGGUCAAAAAGUGGCUGUGGGUAUACACAUGUAUACAUAUACUCAUGCAUAUAUGUACAUAUGCACAAUGCAAUCAUAUAGUCAGUUUCAUGUUUUGUGAUUUUAGUUGACAUUUGUCAUAGGUCACACCUUUUGAUUCUUUUCUUGGUGAAAGUAUUCAUUAUAGAAAAACACAAGACUUCUGUGUGGUCUACAAAUCACCGGCACCUAUCCUUUGUGACUUCUGAACCAUAUUUUCCAACAUAUAUAUUUAAAAAUUUUUAUUUAAAGUUGAGUUCUCUCUUUCCCUUCCUCUGAUCUCCCACCCAUUAAGAAAGCAAAAAAUGCAAUACCCAUUGUACAUAUGAAGUCAUAAAACACAUUUCCACAUUAGCCAUGAUACAAAAGAAAAAAAGACAAGAAAAUUUUUUACAAAGUGAAAGAAGAUAUGUUUCAAUAUACACUCAGAUCAUCAGUUCUCUCUCUGGGGGCAGCGGGCAUUUUUCGUCAUGAGUCCUUUGGGAUUGUUGUGGAUGAUUGUACUGGUCAGAGAAGACACGUCUUUCACAGCUAGUCGCCACUGCGGUAGCGCUGCUGGCGUGUACGACGUUCUUCUGGUCCUGCUCACUUCACUCAGCAUCAGUUCAUCUAAGUUUUCCCAGGUUUUUCUGAAACCAUCCCCUUUG